CACGUAAGGGGCGAGCGUUGUCCGGAAUCACUGGGCGUAAAGGGCACGUAGGCGGCUGUACAAGUCAGAGGUGAAAGGCGCGAGCUCAACUCGUGGACUGCCUUUGAAACUGUACGGCUUGAGUUCUGCAGGGGAAAGUGGAAUUCAUGGUGUAGCGGUGAAAUGCGUAGAUAUCAUGGAGAACACCCGUGGCGAAGGCGGCUUUCUGGGCAGAAACUGACGCUGAGGUGCGAAAGCUAGGGGAGCAAACAGG
RNAcentral lists this ribosomal RNA (253 nucleotides) under uncultured bacterium. Its description in RNAcentral is "partial 16S ribosomal RNA". It matches the Rfam family "Bacterial small subunit ribosomal RNA", at positions 524 to 776 of the family's 1533-position model. The record is from RNAcentral.